GACAGGGGAUACAAGCGUUACUCGGAAUCACUGGGCGUAAAGCGUCUGUAGGUUUUCCGGAAAGUCUGAGGUCAAAUGUCGGGGCUCAACCCCGUCAACGUCUUGGAAACUCCCGGAAUUGAGCAAUAGAGAGGCACCUGGAAUGCCAUGUGUAGGAGUAAAAUCCGUAGAUAUAUGGUAGAACGCCAAAAGUGAAGACAGGGUGCUAGCUAUUCGCUGACACUGAGAGACGAAAGCGUGGGGAGCAAAGGGG
RNAcentral lists this ribosomal RNA (253 nucleotides) under uncultured bacterium. RNAcentral describes it as "partial 16S ribosomal RNA". It matches the Rfam family "Bacterial small subunit ribosomal RNA", at positions 524 to 776 of the family's 1533-position model. The record is from RNAcentral.